RNAcentral lists this ribosomal RNA (274 nucleotides) under uncultured bacterium. RNAcentral's name for it is "partial 16S ribosomal RNA". It matches the Rfam family "Bacterial small subunit ribosomal RNA", at positions 523 to 796 of the family's 1533-position model. The record is from RNAcentral.
AUACGGAGGGUGCGAGCGUUGUUCGGAAUUAUUGGGCGUAAAGAGCAUGUAGGCGGUCUGUUAAGUCUGGUGUGAAAGCCCGGGGCUCAACCCCGGAAGUGCAUUGGAUACUGGCAGACUUGAGUAUGGGAGAGGAAAGCGGAAUUCCGAGUGUAGGAGUGAAAUCCGUAGAUAUUCGGAGGAACACCAGUGGCGAAGGCGGCUUUCUGGACCAAUACUGACGCUGAGAUGCGAAAGCGAGGGGAGCAAACAGGAUUAGAAACCCCAGUAGUCC